GACGAACGCUGGCGGCAUGCCUAACACAUGCAAGUCGAACGGAACCUCCCUGCCUAUGUGCGGACCUCUGGUUGCGACCGGGUAACUUACACGUGAGUACCCUGUCCCUGACUUUGGGAUGUCCUCAUACAAGAUAAUCUCAUACCGCCUAGGAUUUCUCGCUGCAGGGUGGGGGCUCGUUAGUUUAGGCGGUUGGGGAUGGACUCGCGGCUUAUCAGCAUGUUGGUGGGGUAGUGGCUGACCAAGGCCUUGAAGGGUAGCCGGCCUGAGAGGGUGACCGGCCACAUUGGGACUGAGACACGGCCCAGACUCCUACGGGAGGCAGCAGUGGGGAAUAUUGCACAAUGGGCGGAAGCCUGAUGCAGCAACGCCGCGUGCGGGAUGACGGCCUUCGGGUUGUAAACCGCUUUCGCCUGUGACGAAGCGUGAGUGACGGUAAUGGGUAAAGAAGCACCGGCUAACUACGUG
This 468-nucleotide ribosomal RNA is filed under the name uncultured bacterium. RNAcentral describes it as "partial 16S ribosomal RNA". It matches the Rfam family "Bacterial small subunit ribosomal RNA", at positions 28 to 507 of the family's 1533-position model. The record is from RNAcentral.